CCUACGGGUGGUAGCAGUCGAGAAUCAUUCACAAUGGGCGCAACCCUGAUGGUGCGACGCCGCGUGGGGGAAUGAAGGUCUUCGGAUUGUAAACCCCUGUCAUGUGGGAGCAAAUUAAAAAGAUAGUACCACAAGAGGAAGAGCCGGCUAACUCUGUGCCAGCAGCCGCGGUACUAGAACGGUCUCAAGCGUUGUUCGGAAUCAGUGGGCGUUAAGCGUGCGUAGGCUGUUUCGUAAGUCGGGUGUGAAAGGCGCGGGCUCAACCCGCGGACGGCAAAUGAUACUGGGAGACUAGAGUAGUGGAGAGGGAACCGGAAUUCGCGGUGUAGCAGUGAAAUGCGUAGAUA
Molecule: ribosomal RNA, 347 nt
Filed under: uncultured bacterium
Lineage: Bacteria
Description: partial 16S ribosomal RNA
Rfam family: Bacterial small subunit ribosomal RNA
Source: RNAcentral